ACGCUCGACACCUACGGGAGCAGCAGUGAGGAAUAUUGGUCAAUGGACGCAAGUCUGAACCAGCCAUGCCGCGUGCAGGAUGACGGCUCUAUGAGUUGUAAACUGCUUUUGUACGAGGGUAAACGCAGAUACGUGUAUCUGUCUGAAAGUAUCGUACGAAUAAGGAUCGGCUAACUCCGUGCCAGCACGCCGUACGGUAAUCUGGAGGCCGGGUCGUGGACGAACGGC
This 228-nucleotide ribosomal RNA is filed under the name uncultured bacterium. RNAcentral's name for it is "partial 16S ribosomal RNA". It matches the Rfam family "Bacterial small subunit ribosomal RNA", at positions 328 to 538 of the family's 1533-position model. The record is from RNAcentral.